This 119-nucleotide ribosomal RNA is filed under the name Sphenodon punctatus (tuatara). Lineage: Eukaryota; Metazoa; Chordata; Lepidosauria; Sphenodontia; Sphenodontidae. The record is from RNAcentral.
ACCUACAGCCACACUGAACUGAACAUGCCUGAUCCCAUCUGAUCUCUGAAGCUAAGCAGUUCUGGGCCUGGCUACUACUUCGAUGGGAGAUCACCUGGGAAUCCCAGGUUCCAUAGGCU